GAUGAACGCUGGCGGCGUGCCUAAUACAUGCAAGUCGAGCGAACAGACGAGGAGCUUGCUCCUCUGACGUUAGCGGCGGACGGGUGAGUAACACGUGGAUAACCUACCUAUAAGACUGGGAUAACUUCGGGAAACCGGAGCUAAUACCGGAUAAUAUAUUGAACCGCAUGGUUCAAUAGUGAAAGACGGUUUUGCUGUCACUUAUAGAUGGAUCCGCGCCGCAUUAGCUAGUUGGUAAGGUAACGGCUUACCAAGGCAACGAUGCGUAGCCGACCUGAGAGGGUGAUCGGCCACACUGGAACUGAGACACGGUCCAGACUCCUACGGGAGGCAGCAGUAGGGAAUCUUCCGCAAUGGGCGAAAGCCUGACGGAGCAACGCCGCGUGAGUGAUGAAGGUCUUCGGAUCGUAAAACUGUGUUAUUAGGGAAGAACAAAUGUGUAAGUAACUAUGCACGUCUUGACGGUACCUAAUCAGAAAGCCACGGCUAACUACGUG
This 497-nucleotide ribosomal RNA is filed under the name uncultured bacterium. RNAcentral describes it as "partial 16S ribosomal RNA". It matches the Rfam family "Bacterial small subunit ribosomal RNA", at positions 28 to 507 of the family's 1533-position model. The record is from RNAcentral.